UACGAAGGGGGCUAGCGUUGCUCGGAAUCACUGGACGUAAAGGGUGCGUAGGCGGGUCUUUAAGUCAGGGGUGAAAUCCUGGAGCUCAACUCCAGAACUGCCUUUGAUACUGAAGAUCUUGAGUUCGGGAGAGGUGAGUGGAACUGCGAGUGUAGAGGUGAAAUUCGUAGAUAUUCGCAAGAACACCAGUGGCGAAGGCGGCUUACUGGACCGGUUCUGACGCUGAGGCGCGAAAGCGUGGGGAGCAAACAGG
RNAcentral lists this ribosomal RNA (253 nucleotides) under uncultured bacterium. RNAcentral's name for it is "partial 16S ribosomal RNA". It matches the Rfam family "Bacterial small subunit ribosomal RNA", at positions 524 to 776 of the family's 1533-position model. The record is from RNAcentral.